GUGGGGAAUAUUGCGCAAUGGGGGAAACCCUGACGCAGCAAUACCGCGUGAGUGAAGAAGGUUUUCGGAUCGUAAAACUCUUUUAUUGGGGAAGAAGAAGUGACGGUACCCAAUGAAGAAGUCCCGGCUAACUACGUGCCAGCAGCCGCGGUAAUACGUAGGGGACAAGCGUUGUCAGGAAUCACUGGGCGUAAAGGGCGCGUAGGCGGUUUUAUAAGUCAGAUGUGAAAGGUACCUGCUCAAUCGGUGACGUGCAUUUUAAACUGUAAGACUUGAGUACGGGAGAUGCAAGUGGAAUUCCUAGUGUAGCGGUGAAAUGCGUAGAUAUUAGGAGGAACACCGGUGGCGAAGGCGGCUUGCUGGACAGAUACUGACGCUGAGGUGCGAAAGCGUGGGGAGCGAACAGGAUUAGAUACCCGUGUAGUCC
Molecule: ribosomal RNA, 427 nt
Filed under: uncultured bacterium
Lineage: Bacteria
Description: partial 16S ribosomal RNA
Rfam family: Bacterial small subunit ribosomal RNA
Source: RNAcentral